This 254-nucleotide ribosomal RNA is filed under the name uncultured bacterium. RNAcentral describes it as "partial 16S ribosomal RNA". It matches the Rfam family "Bacterial small subunit ribosomal RNA", at positions 524 to 776 of the family's 1533-position model. The record is from RNAcentral.
UACGUAGGGUGCAAGCGUUUAUCCGGAAUUAUUGGGCGUAAAGAGCUCGUAGGCGGUUUGUCGCGUCUGCUGUGAAAACUGGAGGCUCAACCUCCAGCCUGCAGUGGGUACGGGCAGACUAGAGUGAUGUAGGGGAGACUGGAAUUCCUGGUGUAGCGGUGAAAUGCGCAGAUAUCAGGAGGAACACCGAUGGCGAAGGCAGGUCUCUGGGCAUUAACUGACGCUGAGGAGCGAAAGCAUGGGGAGCGAACAGG